GCUCAGAGAGGGGUCAAUGUCCUAUCAGCUAGUUGGUAGGGUAAUGGCCUACCAAGGCUAAGACGGGUAGCCGGCCUGAGAGGGUGGUCGGCCACACUGGGACUGAGACACUGCCCAGACUCCUACGGGAGGCUGCAGUCGAGAAUCUUUCGCAAUGCCCGAAAGGGUGACGAAGCGACGCCGCGUGUGGGAAGAAGGCCUUCGGGUUGUAAACCACUGUCGGGAGUUAAGAAAUGCAAGGGUGUUAAUAGCAUCCUUGCUUGACUAAGGCUCCGGAGGAAGCCACGGCUAACUCUGUGCCAGCAGCCGCGGUAAUACAGAGGCGGCAAGCGUUGUUCGGAAUUAUUGGGCGUAAAGAGCACGUAGGCGGCUUUGUAAGUCAGUUGUGAAAGCCUUCUGCUCAACGGAAGAACAGCAUCUGAUACUGCAAGGCUAGAGUGCGGAAGGG
RNAcentral lists this ribosomal RNA (448 nucleotides) under uncultured Planctomycetota bacterium. RNAcentral's name for it is "bacterial SSU rRNA". It matches the Rfam family "Bacterial small subunit ribosomal RNA", at positions 217 to 656 of the family's 1533-position model. Lineage: Bacteria; Pseudomonadati; Planctomycetota. The record is from RNAcentral.